UCCGUCGAGUCGAACCAGCGACCUAUGGAUUACCGCACUCAUACCGCUACAGUCCCCCGCUCUGCCACCUGAGCUAUCGACGG
RNAcentral lists this transfer RNA (83 nucleotides) under Araneus ventricosus. RNAcentral's name for it is "tRNA-Tyr". Lineage: Eukaryota; Metazoa; Arthropoda; Arachnida; Araneae; Araneidae. The record is from RNAcentral.